GACGAACGCGGCGGCGUGCCUAAUACAUGCAAGUGGGACGCAAGGGAACACACUGUGCUUGCACACCGUGUUUUCUUGAGUCGCGAACGGGUGAGUAACGCGUAGGUAACCUGCCUAUUAGCGGGGGAUAACUAUUGGAAACGAUAGCUAAUACCGCAUAAUAUUAAUUAUUGCAUGAUAAUUGAUUGAAAGAUGCAAGCGCAUCACUAGUAGAUGGACCUGCGUUGUAUUAGCUAGUUGGUAAGGUAAGAGCUUACCAAGGCGACGAUACAUAGCCGACCUGAGAGGGUGAUCGGCCACACUGGGACUGAGACACGGCCCAGACUCCUACGGGAGGCAGCAGUAGGGAAUCUUCGGCAAUGGACGAAAGUCUGACCGAGCAACGCCGCGUGAGUGAAGAAGGUUUUCGGAUCGUAAAGCUCUGUUGUAAGUCAAGAACGUGUGUGAGAGUGGAAAGUUCACACAGUGACGGAGCUACCAGAAAGGCGC
This 489-nucleotide ribosomal RNA is filed under the name Streptococcus mutans. RNAcentral's name for it is "bacterial SSU rRNA". It matches the Rfam family "Bacterial small subunit ribosomal RNA", at positions 28 to 494 of the family's 1533-position model. Lineage: Bacteria; Bacillati; Bacillota; Bacilli; Lactobacillales; Streptococcaceae. The record is from RNAcentral.